GCUGGCACAAUGAUGAUAACUCUUUGCCGUUUACCCAACUGAAAUGUGUGAUGAGCAGUGUUGUAUCUGAGGUGCCAGC
This is a small nucleolar RNA of Amazona collaria (yellow-billed parrot), 79 nucleotides long. The record is from Ensembl. Lineage: Eukaryota; Metazoa; Chordata; Aves; Psittaciformes; Psittacidae.